UUGUCCUUAGUUACCAGCACGUUAUGGUGGGCACUCUAAGGAGACUGCCGGUGACAAACCGGAGGAAGGUGGGAUGACGUCAAGUCAUCAUGGCCCUUACGGCCUGGGCUACACACGUGCUACAAUGGUCGGUACAAAGGGUUGCCAAGCCGCGAGGUGGAGCUAAUCCCAUAAAACCGAUCGUAGUCCGGAUCGCAGUCUGCAACUCGACUGCGUGAAGUCGGAAUCGCUAGUAAUCGUGAAUCAGAAUGUCACGGUGAAUACGUUCCCGGGCCUU
RNAcentral lists this ribosomal RNA (277 nucleotides) under uncultured Pseudomonas sp. RNAcentral's name for it is "partial 16S ribosomal RNA". It matches the Rfam family "Bacterial small subunit ribosomal RNA", at positions 1105 to 1382 of the family's 1533-position model. Lineage: Bacteria; Pseudomonadati; Pseudomonadota; Gammaproteobacteria; Pseudomonadales; Pseudomonadaceae. The record is from RNAcentral.